UGAGAUUAUUAGAAAGGUUGAAGGGGGCAU
Molecule: non-coding RNA, 30 nt
Filed under: Rattus norvegicus (Norway rat)
Lineage: Eukaryota; Metazoa; Chordata; Mammalia; Rodentia; Muridae
Source: RNAcentral